CACAUGCUGUAACCGCACGGAACAGGUAUGAAGCAUGGCUGCUUGUACAGCCAUCACCUGAAUAAGGCGAGUCUGAGACAUGAG
Paenibacillus sp. is the source of this 84-nucleotide regulatory RNA element. The record is from Rfam. NCBI's taxonomy places the organism in Bacteria, Bacillati, Bacillota, Bacilli, Caryophanales, Paenibacillaceae.